GCCAAGUCGUGAGGCGGAGCUAAUCCCUUAAAGCCAUUCUCAGUUCGGAUUGUAGGCUGAAACUCGCCUACAUGAAGCUGGAGUUACUAGUAAUCGCAGAUCAGAAUGCUGCGGUGAAUGCGUUCCCGGGUCUUGUACACACCGCCCGUCACACCACGGAAGUUGGGGGCGCCCGAAGCCACUUAGCUAACCCUUUUGGGAAGCGAGUGUCGAAGGUGAAAUCAAUAACUGGGGUGAAGUCGUAACAAGGUAAC
Molecule: ribosomal RNA, 254 nt
Filed under: uncultured bacterium
Lineage: Bacteria
Description: partial 16S ribosomal RNA
Rfam family: Bacterial small subunit ribosomal RNA
Source: RNAcentral